GGCUUUAUAGUCAAAAUUAUGAUAUUAGACUGCAAUUCUAAAGUUAGAUUUAUCUUAAAGCCU
Molecule: transfer RNA, 63 nt
Filed under: Brachyplatys subaeneus
Lineage: Eukaryota; Metazoa; Arthropoda; Insecta; Hemiptera; Plataspidae
Description: tRNA-Cys
Source: RNAcentral